RNAcentral lists this ribosomal RNA (868 nucleotides) under uncultured organism. RNAcentral describes it as "bacterial SSU rRNA". It matches the Rfam family "Bacterial small subunit ribosomal RNA", at positions 13 to 902 of the family's 1533-position model. The record is from RNAcentral.
UUGAUCCUGGCUCAGAAUGAACGCUGGCGGCAUGGCUAAGACAUGCAAGUCGAACGGACUUUAUGAUUGGGUAAUCUUGAAUAAAGUUAGUGGCGAAAGGGUGAGGAAUAGAUAUGAACGUGCCUUUGGCUUCGGAAUAGCGUCCCGAAAGGGGCGGUAAUACCGGAUAACGUCUACGGACCAAGGAUUUAUCGGCCUUAGAGCGGCCUAUCUCCUAUCAGCUUGUUGGUGGGGUAAUGGCCUACCAAUGCAACGACGGGUAGCGGGACUGAGAGGUUGGCCCGCCACAUCGGGACUGAGACACUGCCCGGACCUCCACGGAAGGCUGCACUAACGAAUAUUGGGCAAUGGGCUAAAGCCUGACCCAGCAAUGCCGCGUGUAUGAUGAAGCCCCUCGGGGUGUAAACUACUGUCAGGGGUUAGAAAGCUACGGGUUGAUCAACCCCAGAGGAAGUCACGGCUAACUUCGUGCCAGCAGCCGCGGUACUACGAAGGUGGCGAGCGUUAUUCGGAAUUACUGGGCUUAAAGCGCACGCAGGCGGACUAUCUAGCGUCUUGUGAAAUCCCCCGUGCUUAGCCGGGGAAUUGCAGGGCGAACUGGUAUUCUUGAGGCAAGUAGGGGUGCAUGGAACUCUUGGUGGAGCGGUGGAAUGCGUAGAUAUCAGGAGGAACGCCGAUGGUGAAGACAGUGCACUGGGCUUGUCCUGACGCUGAGGUGCGAAAGCGUGGGGAGCGAACGGGAUCAGAUACCCCGGUAGUCCACGCCGUAAACGAUGCCUACUAGGUCGUGGAUGUCCUGACACACUCAGGGCCGAAGCAAAAGUGCUUAGUAUGCCGACUGGGGAGUACGGUCGCGAGGCUAAUACUC